Molecule: ribosomal RNA, 517 nt
Filed under: Triticum aestivum (bread wheat)
Lineage: Eukaryota; Viridiplantae; Streptophyta; Magnoliopsida; Poales; Poaceae
Description: partial small subunit ribosomal RNA
Source: RNAcentral
GAACCAUCAUCGUCUGCGUCACUACUGGGGCAGGAGAGGAAAGACUGUUGUUGUCUCCAGGAACCGAUAAACUGCUUUACAAAGAUCCCCGCAUAGCUUCACUACUACUGUGUUGGUCCAUUUCCAGAAUUGUAAGGAUAAUGCUUUUGCUUAAGGAGAGGCUCAAGAAGAUCAGGGAGCUCCGCAUCCGAGUUUCAGCCAUCCUCUACAGCAAGGAGCUCCGGUCCAAAGGAGCAACCAACGCUGCUAGUUCCUUGAGGCCAGAUCGAGUAAGAUGGCGCACCAUGGCGUGUGGUGGCGUAUUUUGCUUCUGAGAACAAUACUGUUUAUUUGAAGUGAGAUGUACUAGUCUAUGUUGUAGUGAGCUGUAGUAGGAGUGAAAUGAAAAUGUAUCUGUUAUUGUAUGUACAUUUUACUUGAACAUUAAAUUCUCCAGAAAAAAUGUUCUUAUUGGACCUGAUAGUGGCCACGGCCCAAAUAUACUUGUACUAUUAAGAUGCCAUGGCCCAAAAUAACC